RNAcentral lists this ribosomal RNA (465 nucleotides) under Vreelandella stevensii. RNAcentral describes it as "partial 16S ribosomal RNA". It matches the Rfam family "Bacterial small subunit ribosomal RNA", at positions 338 to 795 of the family's 1533-position model. Lineage: Bacteria; Pseudomonadati; Pseudomonadota; Gammaproteobacteria; Oceanospirillales; Halomonadaceae. The record is from RNAcentral.
CCUACGGGGGGCUGCAGUGGGGAAUAUUGGACAAUGGGCGAAAGCCUGAUCCAGCCAUGCCGCGUGUGUGAAGAAGGCCUUCGGGUUGUAAAGCACUUUCAGUGGGGAAGAAAGCCUUGGGGCUAAUACCCUCGAGGAAGGACAUCACCCACAGAAGAAGCACCGGCUAACUCCGUGCCAGCAGCCGCGGUAAUACGGAGGGUGCGAGCGUUAAUCGGAAUUACUGGGCGUAAAGAGCGCGUAGGCGGUCUGAUAAGCCGGUUGUGAAAGCCCCGGGCUCAACCUGGGAACGGCAUCCGGAACUGUCAGGCUAGAGUGCAGGAGAGGAAGGUAGAAUUCCCGGUGUAGCGGUGAAAUGCGUAGAGAUCGGGAGGAAUACCAGUGGCGAAGGCGGCCUUCUGGACUGACACUGACGCUGAGGUGCGAAAGCGUGGGUAGCAAACAGGAUUAGAUACCCUGGUAGUC